UCAUGCUUGCAAUCUCAACACUUUGGGAGGCUGAGAUGGGAGGAUCACUUGAGGCCAGGAGUUCAAGACCAACCUGGUCAGCACAGUGUGACCUCAUCUGUAUAAAAAAUAAAAUAAAAAGAAGUAUAAACAUAUAUAGUAUUUAUUUUUCUAAACUCAAAUUUAAGCAGGCAUCCUGUUUUUAAAGUUCUAUUGCUAUUUUCUUCUUUUUGAGGUGGAUUCCCGCUCUGUCGCCCAAGCGGAAGUGCAGUGGCGUGAUCUCGGCUCACUGCAACCUUCGCCUCCCAGAUUCAAGCGAUUCUGCCUCAGCCUUCCGAGUAGCUGGGAUUACAGGCAACUGCCACCAUGCCCAGCUAAUGGUCUCAAACUGCCAACCUCAGUUCUGGAGGCCAAGAGUCUGGAAUGAUCUUACAAGGUUAACAUCAAGGUGUUGGCAGAGCUGGUUUCUUCUGGACGCUCUAGAGCAAGCUUGUCCAACCUGCAGCCUGUGGGCCAAAUUCGUCCCAGGAUGGCUUUGAAUGGCCUCUGCGUUUGCUGUUGCCUCUGCCAGGAACACUCAGCCCACGGAUCUUCACCUAGCCAGCUCCUUCUUAUUCUAAGAAUAGAUUAUUACCACCUCAAGGAGACCUCCCUGCCACCCUAGGAAAAGUGCCCCUCUUCUUAUAAAGGCCUCCCUUUUAUACAUACCAUUUUAUUAUCCUCAUAAUUAUUAUCAUAUCUGGACCUAUCUUACUUGUUUUUGUACUUUCUGUCUUCCUUCUACCCCCAUGCCACCCAGGAUAUAAACUCUGUGAAAGAGGAAUCGUUGUGGUUUUAAUAUGUACAGACAUGGCCGGGCACGGUGGCUCACGCUUGUAAUCCCAGCACUUUGGGAGGCCGAGGCGGGCGGAUCACGAGGUCAGGAGAUCGAGACCACGGUGAAACCCUGUCUCUACUAAAAAAUACAAAAAAUUAGCCGGGCGUAGUGGCAGGCGCCUGUAGUCCCAGCUACUCGGAGAGGCUGAGGCAGGAGAAUGGUGUGAACCCGGGAGGCGGAGCUUGCAGUGAGCCGAGACUGCGCCACUGCACUCCAGCCUGGGCGACAGAGCAAGACUCUGUCUCAAAAAAAAAAAAAAAAAAAAAAAACGUACAGACAUUCUCUGACACUCCGCCCUUCAAAAAGUGGUGCCCAAUUCUUCCCCAGUCCUCUUCAAUGUGGGCUGGACUUAUUCCUAAGACACAGAGUGUGGCAGAAGGGAUCCCAUGUAACUCCUGAGGCUAGGUCGUAGAAAGGAUAGCAUCAACUUGACUCACUCCGUCUUGGAUCAUUUGCUCUGAGGGAAGCCAUCCGCCAUGUUGGAAGGACACUCAAGCAGCUUUAUGGAGAAUCCCACAUGGAGAAGAAAUAGUUGCCAGGCAUGGGAGUGAGGACUUCAAAAGUAGAUCUUUCAGAUGAUUUCAGCCCUGCAACCUUCAAUUCUUCUGGCUGACACCCCAGACAUAUAGAGCCAAGACAAACCAUUCCCAAUGCCCACUGUGCCCUCUCUGAAUUCCUGACCCACAGGAAUCGUUAGAAA
Symphalangus syndactylus (siamang) is the source of this 1556-nucleotide long non-coding RNA. RefSeq lists it as uncharacterized. The record is from RefSeq and is a predicted model, not a curated record. NCBI's taxonomy places the organism in Eukaryota, Metazoa, Chordata, Mammalia, Primates, Hylobatidae.